This 429-nucleotide ribosomal RNA is filed under the name Pseudomonadota bacterium. RNAcentral describes it as "Proteobacteria bacterium partial 16S ribosomal RNA". It matches the Rfam family "Bacterial small subunit ribosomal RNA", at positions 355 to 776 of the family's 1533-position model. Lineage: Bacteria; Pseudomonadati; Pseudomonadota. The record is from RNAcentral.
UGGGGAAUAUUGGACAAUGGGCGAAAGCCUGAUCCAGCCAUGCCGCGUGUGUGAAGAAGGUCUUCGGAUUGUAAAGCACUUUAAGUUGGGAGGAAGGGCAGUAAGCGAAUACCUUGCUGUUUUGACGUUACCGACAGAAUAAGCACCGGCUAACUCUGUGCCAGCAGCCGCGGUAAUACAGAGGGUGCAAGCGUUAAUCGGAAUUACUGGGCGUAAAGCGCGCGUAGGUGGUUCGUUAAGUUGAAUGUGAAAGCCCCGGGCUCAACCUGGGAACUGCAUCCAAAACUGGCGAGCUAGAGUAGGGCAGAGGGUGGUGGAAUUUCCUGUGUAGCGGUGAAAUACAUAGAUAUAGGAAGGAACACCAGUGGCGAAGGCGACCACCUGGGCUCAUACUGACACUGAGGUGCGAAAGCGUGGGGAGCAAACAGG